GUGCACGCGGUAGGAGAGCGUUCUGUAAGCCUGCGAAGGUGGCUUGUAAAGGCUGCUGGAGGUAUCAGAAGUGCGAAUGCUGACAUGAGUAGCGAUAAAGGGGGUGAAAAGCCCCCUCGCCGUAAGUCCAAGGUUUCCUGCGCAACGUUCAUCGGCGCAGGGUGAGUCGGCCCCUAAGGCGAGGCAGAGAUGCGUAGCUGAUGGGAAGCUGGUUAAUAUUCCAGCACCGUCGUACAGUGCGAUGGGGGGACGGAUCGCGGAAGAUCAUCAGGGUGUUGGAUGUCCCUGUUGCUGCAUCGAAGAUGGCGCUUAGGCAAAUCCGGGCGCGUAAAUCAAGGGUGUGGCACGAGCGAGCAUUGCUUGCGAAGUGAUUGGAAGUGGUUCCAAGAAAAGCCUCUAAGCUUCAGCUGUACGAGACCGUACCGCAAACCGACACAGGUGGACGGGAUGAAUAUUCCAAGGCGCUUGAGAGAACUCAGGAGAAGGAACUCGGCAAAUUGAUACCGUAACUUCGGGAGAAGGUAUACCCCGGUAGUGUGAAGCGCCUGCGCGCUUAGCAUGAUGGGGUCGCAGAGAAUCGGUGGCUGCGACUGUUUAUUAAAAACACAGCACUCUGCAAAGACGAAAGUCGACGUAUAGGGUGUGACGCCUGCCCGGUGCCGGAAGGUUAAGUGAUGGGGUGCAAGCUCUUGAUCGAAGCCCCGGUAAACGGCGGCCGUAACUAUAACGGUCCUAAGGUAGCGAAAUUCCUUGUCGGGUAAGUUCCGACCUGCACGAAUGGCGUAACGAUGGCCACACUGUCUCCUCCUGAGACUCAGCGAAGUUGAAGUGUUUGUGAUGAUGCAAUCUACCCGCGGCUAGACGGAAAGACCCCAUGAACCUUUACUGUAGCUUUGCAUUGAUCUGUGAACCGGCCUGUGUAGGAUAGGUGGGAGGCUUUGAAGCGUAGUCGCUAGAUUACGUGGAGCCAUCCUUGAAAUACCACCCUGGUUUGUUUGCGGUUCUAACCUUGGUCCGUUAUCCGGAUCGGGGACAGUGCAUGGUGGGCAGUUUGACUGGGGCGGUCUCCUCCCAAAGUGUAACGGAGGAGUUCGAAGGUACGCUAGGUACGGUCGGAAAUCGUGCUGAUAGUGCAAUGGCAUAAGCGUGCUUGACUGUGAGACUGACAAGUCGAACAGGUGCGAAAGCAGGACAUAGUGAUCCGGUGGUUCUGAAUGGAAGGGCCAUCGCUCAACGGAUAAAAGGUACUCUGGGGAUAACAGGCUGAUACCGCCCAAGAGUUCAUAUCGACGGCGGUGUUUGGCACCUCGAUGUCGGCUCAUCUCAUCCUGGGGCUGUAGCCGGUCCCAAGGGUAUGGCUGUUCGCCAUUUAAAGAGGUACGUGAGCUGGGUUUAAAACGUCGUGAGACAGUUUGGUCCCUAUCUGCCGUGGGCGUUGGAUACUUGACGGAGCCUGCUCCUAGUACGAGAGGACCGGAGUGGACGUACCUCUGGUGUACCGGUUGUCAUGCCAAUGGCAUUGCCGGGUAGCUAAGUACGGAAGAGAUAACCGCUGAAGGCAUCUAAGCGGGAAACUCGUCUGAAGAUAAGGUAUCCCGGGGACUUGAUCCCCCUGAAGGGUCGUUCGAGACCAGGACGUUGAUAGGUCGGGUGUGGAAG
RNAcentral lists this ribosomal RNA (1659 nucleotides) under Achromobacter sp. ACM01. Its description in RNAcentral is "partial 23S ribosomal RNA". It matches the Rfam family "Bacterial large subunit ribosomal RNA", at positions 1219 to 2873 of the family's 2925-position model. The record is from RNAcentral. Lineage: Bacteria; Pseudomonadati; Pseudomonadota; Betaproteobacteria; Burkholderiales; Alcaligenaceae.